This 443-nucleotide ribosomal RNA is filed under the name uncultured bacterium. RNAcentral's name for it is "partial 16S ribosomal RNA". It matches the Rfam family "Bacterial small subunit ribosomal RNA", at positions 338 to 795 of the family's 1533-position model. The record is from RNAcentral.
CCUACGGGUGGCAGCAGUGGGGAAUAUUGGGCAAUGGGCACAAGCCUGACCCAGCAACGCCGCGUGAAGGAAGAAGGCUUUCGGGUUGUAAACUUCUUUUGUCAGGGACGAAGCAAGUGACGGUACCUGACGAAUAAGCCACGGCUAACUACGUGCCAGCAGCCGCGGUAAUACGUAGGUGGCAAGCGUUAUCCGGAUUUAUUGGGUGUAAAGGGCGUGUAGGCGGGAAGGCAAGUCAGAUGUGAAAACUAUGGGCUCAACCCAUAGCCUGCAUUUGAAACUGUAUUUCUUGAGUGCUGGAGAGGCAAUCGGAAUUCGGUGUGUAGCGGUGAAAUGCGUAGAUAUACGGAGGAACACCAGUGGCGAAGGCGGAUUGCUGGACAGUAACUGACGCUGAGGCGCGAAAGCGUGGGGAGCAAACAGGAUUAGAUACCCUUGGAGUC